AGCGUAUAUUAAAGUUGUUGCAGUUAAAAAGCUCGUAGUUGAAUUUCGGGGUUAGUAGGUUGGUCAUGCCUCUGGUAUGUACUGGUCUCACUGAUUCCUCCUUCCUGAUGAACCUUAAUGCCAUUAAUUUGGUGUUUUGGGGAAUUUGGACUGUUACUUUGAAAAAAUUAGAGUGUUUAAAGCAAGCUAACGCUUGAAUACAUUAGCAUGGAAUAAUGAAAUAGGACGUUCGAUCCUAUUUUGUUGGUUUCUAGGAUUGACGUAAUGAUUAAUAGGGAUAGUUGGGGGCAUUAGUAUUCAAUUGUCAGAGGUGAAAUUCUUGGAUUUAUUGAAGACUAACUACUGCGAAAGCAUUUGCCAAGGAUGUUUUCAUUAAUCAAGAACGAAAGUUAGGGGAUCGAAGACGAUCAGAUACCGUCGUAGUCUUAACCAUAAACUAUGCCGACUAGGGAUCGGAUGAUGUUAAUUUUUUAAUGACUCAUUC
This 484-nucleotide ribosomal RNA is filed under the name uncultured Glomeromycotina. RNAcentral's name for it is "SSU rRNA". It matches the Rfam family "Eukaryotic small subunit ribosomal RNA", at positions 596 to 1081 of the family's 1831-position model. The record is from RNAcentral. Lineage: Eukaryota; Fungi; Glomeromycota.